This is a non-coding RNA of Triticum aestivum (bread wheat), 134 nucleotides long. Lineage: Eukaryota; Viridiplantae; Streptophyta; Magnoliopsida; Poales; Poaceae. The record is from Rfam.
UUUGUACUCCCUCCUCCCAAAAAUAUUGUCUUAAAUUUGUCUAAAUACGGAUGUAUCUAGUUACAUUUUAGUGUUAGAUACAUCUGUAUCUAAACAAAUGUAAGACAAGAAUUUUGGGACGGAGGGAAUACUAC